UGACCUUCAAGAACGCGGUCGCUUCGUCGUAGUUCUGCGAAAAGUCUCGUCCUGAAAAGUUCUUAUUAAAUGGCCAGCCGGUCUCUUCUCUUAAUUCCCUGGAGAUAUGGAGAAGCUAAAAGUUAACAGAUUGAUCACGCUCUCUUGGGUUUGCACGAUAUUCAAUGGUUUCCGUGAAAUCAACGGCAUCCCGGAGGAGGUCCUUCCUGAAGGCUAGCGUCCACAUGGAAGAUGGAUUGACGACGACACCCAAGCGCGUCUCUAGGCAGAAGGUCUCGAUUGGGGGACUCCAGUGCCACCACGUGGCCCUGAUGGCACCGAGAGGUUAGCUGAAUCCAGUUGCCUCGAGGGUUUGAUUGCUGGUCACGCGCAGAGGAAUUCGGUUAGGCAAAAUGGAUAACUACAAAACCAUUCGAUGGAAAUCUGUUCCUUCUCAAACAAUUUGAUAUCGGCAGUGGAGGGUUUAUCAUUCAAAACCAUCUUGCAGAGAAAAGGAUAGCUACAAAACCAUUCGAUGGAAAUCUGUUCCUUCUCAAACAAUUUGAUAUCACCAGUGGAUGAUUUAUCAUUCAGCCUCAUCUUGCACAGAUCGAAAAAAGAUUUGGACACUCAACUCCUUUUGCCAGCUUCUGGACACGGAAUGAUGGACAUGAGCUCUGGUCACCGGUUCGAGUUCGACACUAUUGAUGGAAACAGUCUGCUGCCGAAGAAGUGUACGCACGAAAUAGAAGAUGUACUGGAACCAUGUUCCAUUAUGAUUUAUUGCUUUCCACAAAAAUAAAGGAGUAAUAGAA
Molecule: long non-coding RNA, 794 nt
Organism: Anopheles aquasalis
Lineage: Eukaryota; Metazoa; Arthropoda; Insecta; Diptera; Culicidae
Source: RefSeq, a predicted model, not a curated record